Long non-coding RNA from Corapipo altera (White-ruffed manakin), 430 nucleotides. RefSeq lists it as uncharacterized. The record is from RefSeq and is a predicted model, not a curated record. The transcript has 3 exons. Lineage: Eukaryota; Metazoa; Chordata; Aves; Passeriformes; Pipridae.
CCCCAAACGUGUGUAUGCACAUAAGGAAGGUGCAGUUGUAAUUGUGCGGCUCUCCGGCCUGUCUGGCACGGCCCUUGCUUCCAACAGAAAGCUGACAAUCUCCGCUGCCUGGGCGAAACACAAAGGUCUCCCGUUCUUCCAAGGCUCCGGCCGAUAACGCUGCGCUGGGGAAUUGUGCGAACUCUGUGGCUCCGGAAAGCUGUUGAAAGUCCAUGAGGAAAUACCUCCAUCCACCUUACACAUACUGUGUAUACAUACAUUUACUAUAAACACAAAUGGGCACAUAAAAACUAUAAAAUCACGCUAAAAAAGAACUAAAAAAUUGCUCUUUGCCCCCAAAUCUGUAAUUCAGGACAACUGAAAUUUCUCCUUAAGUUGAAGACAGCAUCAGCUGAGCAAAGUUGCCAUGACAGAGAUCAAGCAAAAUGUU